This 694-nucleotide ribosomal RNA is filed under the name uncultured bacterium. RNAcentral's name for it is "bacterial SSU rRNA". It matches the Rfam family "Bacterial small subunit ribosomal RNA", at positions 32 to 715 of the family's 1533-position model. The record is from RNAcentral.
AACGCUAGCUACAGGCUUAACACAUGCAAGUCGAGGGGCAGCAUGAUUGAAGCUUGCUUCAAUUGAUGGCGACCGGCGCACGGGUGAGUAACACGUAUCCAACCUUCCGUACACUCAGGGAUAGCCUUUCGAAAGAAAGAUUAAUACCUGAUGGUAUCUUAAGCACACAUGUAAUUAAGAUUAAAGAUUUAUCGGUGUACGAUGGGGAUGCGUUCCAUUAGGUAGUAGGCGGGGUAACGGCCCACCUAGCCUACGAUGGAUAGGGGUUCUGAGAGGAAGGUCCCCCACAUUGGAACUGAGACAUGGUCCAAACUCCUACGGGAGGCAGCAGUGAGGAAUAUUGGUCAAUGGACGAGAGUCUGAACCAGCCAAGUAGCGUGAAGGAUGAAGGUCCUACGGAUUGUAAACUUCUUUUAUAAGGGAAUAAAACCUCCCACGUGUGGGAGCCUGUAUGUACCUUAUGAAUAAGCAUCGGCUAACUCCGUGCCAGCAGCCGCGGUAAUACGGAGGAUGCGAGCGUUAUCCGGAUUUAUUGGGUUUAAAGGGAGCGCAGACGGGUCGUUAAGUCAGCUGUGAAAGUUUGGGGCUCAACCUUAAAAUUGCAGUUGAUACUGGCGUCCUUGAGUGCGGUUGAGGUGUGCGGAAUUCGUGGUGUAGCGGUGAAAUGCUUAGAUAUCACGAAGAACUCCGAUUG